GGUGCGAUGGGUUAUCUGGACAAGUCAGAUCAGGCUCUCGGCGCGGUGAAGAUUCCGCAGGAGUUGCAGCCGUUCGGCUCGACGUCGUACUAC
RNAcentral lists this transfer RNA (93 nucleotides) under Pseudomonas koreensis. Its description in RNAcentral is "tRNA-Glu". The record is from RNAcentral. Lineage: Bacteria; Pseudomonadati; Pseudomonadota; Gammaproteobacteria; Pseudomonadales; Pseudomonadaceae.